CAAAAACUCGGGAGGAAAAAAUGUGAAGAUCGAAUCAACACCAGCUCGGUGAAUCCAUUCACAUUUCAUAUCAAGUAAACAUUAUGUUGGGUUGGCAUGGUCUUUCAGAGGACAAAGAGGUCUGCUCUAAAAAAACAAAACAGAAAACACUGAAACGCAAGUCUGGGACUGUGGAGUGAGAGUUUCCGAGGAAACACUGUUUAGCUAAUGGUCCAAUGUGUGAGGAACAAGAAGCUGGUGACUCAAGAUCAGAUGCCGAGAACUGAGUAAGUGUGGGAUCCAUGUCGGUGUGAAGGCGUUGAAUUGAAAGUAAGCCACAGUAACAUUUUAUAUUCUUAAAACAAAUGAUUAAAAGAAUAAUUGAUCUAGACUCAAGCCGUCUUUCUGAGUGAGCCAUCCACAAUUCAGACAGAUUUAACUUGCGUGCACCUCCUGCGCGCAAGCUGAUGAUUCACCAUAUGAGAUCUUCAUCACCGUCACACUCUCCCAAUGUGUCAAUCACUCCAUCUCCCACCUGCAAAUCAUUUUUGCACACUUCUACUUAACUCUUCUCUGUGCAGUAUACCAACGCAAUGUCAAGCUAGGUGACUUUAGUCAGCAGUUUCAUGCAUCAUUAGAGCACAGAUAAAAGCACAGACAUAAAGGAAGAAACGCCUGAUUGAGCAGAGUGUCUUUUACAAUACAAUUACUUCAAUAUCAUUUUACUGGGGAAAAUAUUAUAUGGUUGUAUU
Corythoichthys intestinalis (scribbled pipefish) is the source of this 731-nucleotide long non-coding RNA. RefSeq lists it as uncharacterized. The transcript is spliced from 3 exons. Lineage: Eukaryota; Metazoa; Chordata; Actinopteri; Syngnathiformes; Syngnathidae. The record is from RefSeq and is a predicted model, not a curated record.